UGUACAAGGUAGGUUACAAUUGAACUUGUGUAUUGUGUUUAGAUAGGAUAUGGAGUCGUGUCCUAAUAGGACACUUGUAUCAUAGGCCUCUCAUAUAUAGCGGGGGUAGACACACGAUGUAACCUAUGCCAACAUAAUAGCACCUGAACAACUUGUAUCAUAGGCCUCUCAUAUAUAGCGGGGGUAGACACACGAUGUAACCUGUGCCAACAUAAUAGCACCUGAACGCAGGGGAAGCCGGUGGCAUGUGCCGGUGUCCAGGGCGACCGGGUGCGGUAUUGUAGCUGUAUCAUGGGGAGGAGCACCGGGGAUGUAGCCAUAUCGGUGAACCUCGUUAACAAAUCUC
This 346-nucleotide long non-coding RNA is filed under the name Triticum aestivum (bread wheat). RNAcentral describes it as "long non-coding RNA (TAES_LNC013752)". The record is from RNAcentral. Lineage: Eukaryota; Viridiplantae; Streptophyta; Magnoliopsida; Poales; Poaceae.